RNAcentral lists this ribosomal RNA (402 nucleotides) under uncultured bacterium. RNAcentral's name for it is "bacterial SSU rRNA". It matches the Rfam family "Bacterial small subunit ribosomal RNA", at positions 355 to 774 of the family's 1533-position model. The record is from RNAcentral.
UGGGGAAUAUUGGACAAUGGGCGCAAGCCUGAUCCAGCCAUGCCGCGUGAGUGAUGAAGGCCCUAGGGUUGUAAAGCUCUUUUGUGCGGGAAGAUAAUGACUGUACCGCAAGAAUAAGCCCCGGCUAACUUCGUGCUAGCAGCCGCGGUAAUACGAAGGGGGCUAGCGUUGCUCGGAAUCACUGGGCGUAAAGGGUGCGUAGGCGGGUCUUUAAGUCAGGGGUGAAAUCCUGGAGCUCAACUCCAGGACUGCCUUUGAUACUGAGGAUCUUGAGUUCGGGAGAGGUGAGUGGAACUGCGAGUGUAGAGGUGAAAUUCGUAGAUAUUCGCAAGAACACCAGUGGCGAAGGCGGCUCACUGGCCCGAUACUGACGCUGAGGCACGAAAGCGUGGGGAGCAAACA